AGGGGAGUAGCUCAACUGGUAGAGCAUCGGUCUCCAAAACCGAGGGUUGCGGGUUCGAGUCCUGUCUCCCCUGCCA
Molecule: transfer RNA, 76 nt
Filed under: Bacillota bacterium
Lineage: Bacteria; Bacillati; Bacillota
Description: Firmicutes bacterium (anaerobic digester metagenome) tRNA-Trp
Rfam family: tRNA
About the family: Transfer RNA (tRNA) molecules are approximately 80 nucleotides in length. Their secondary structure includes four short double-helical elements and three loops (D, anti-codon, and T loops). Further hydrogen bonds mediate the characteristic L-shaped molecular structure. tRNAs have two regions of fundamental functional importance: the anti-codon, which is responsible for specific mRNA codon recognition, and the 3' end, to which the tRNAs corresponding amino acid is attached (by aminoacyl-tRNA synthetases). tRNAs cope with the degeneracy of the genetic code in two manners: having more than one tRNA (with a specific anti-codon) for a particular amino acid; and 'wobble' base-pairing, i.e. permitting non-standard base-pairing at the 3rd anti-codon position.
Source: RNAcentral